RNAcentral lists this ribosomal RNA (914 nucleotides) under uncultured marine archaeon. RNAcentral describes it as "bacterial SSU rRNA". It matches the Rfam family "Archaeal small subunit ribosomal RNA", at positions 1 to 921 of the family's 1478-position model. The record is from RNAcentral.
UUCCGGUUGAUCCUGCCGGAGGCUACCGCUAUUGGAGUUCGAUUAAGCCAUGCGAGUCCAGAGCUUUCGGAGCUCGGCGUACCGCUCAGUAACACGUGGGUAACCUAACCUAUGCAGGGGAAUAACCUCGGGAAACUGAGAAUAAUGCCCCAUAGUCCACUACGCCUGGAACGGUGAGUGGAUGAAAGCUCAGGCGGCAUAGGAUGGGCCUGCGGCGUAUCAGGUUGUAGGGGGUGUAAAGUACCCUCUAGCCCUCUACGCGUACGGGUGUUGGGAGACAUAGCCCGGAGAUGGAUUCUGAGACACGAAUCCAGACCCUACGGGGUGCAGCAGGCGCGAAAACUUGGCAAUGCGAGCAAUCGUGACCAGGGAACUCCAAGUGGCUGGGGUAAGACCCAGUCUUUUCAGAACUCUUCAAAGGUUUUAGAAUAAGGGGUGGGUAAGGACGGUGCCAGCCGCCGCGGUAAUACCGGCGCCUCAAGUGGUAGUCGCUUUUAUUGGGCCUAAAACGUCCGUAGCCGGUUUGGUACAUUCGUGGGUAAAUCAACUCGCUCAACGAGUUGAAUUCUGCGAGGACGGCCAGACUUGGGACCGGGAGAGGUGUGGGGUACUCUCAGGGUAGGGGUAAAAUCCUGUCAUCCUGAGAGGACCACCUGUUGCGAAGGCGCCACACUAGAACGGAUCCGACGGUCAGGGACGAAGCCUAGGGGCACGAACCGGAUUAGAUACCCGGGUAGUCCUAGGUGUAAACGCUGUGGACUUGAUGUUGGAGGAGCUCCGAGCUCUUUCAGUGUCGAAGCGAAGGUGAUAAGUCCACUGCCUGGGAAGUACGGUCGCAAGGCUGAAACUUAAAGGAAUUGGCGGGGGAGCACCACAAGGGGUGAAGCCUGCGGUUCAAUUGGAGUCAACGCCGG